Ribosomal RNA from Ochotona princeps (American pika), 123 nucleotides. The record is from Ensembl. Lineage: Eukaryota; Metazoa; Chordata; Mammalia; Lagomorpha; Ochotonidae.
GUCUACGGCCAUACCGUCCUAAACAUGCCCGAUCUCGUCUGAUCUCGGAAGCUAAGCAGGAUCGGGCCUGGUUAGUGCUUGGAUGGGAGACCGAUCCAGCUCCCUGCUAACGUGCUUUAGAAA